AUGUUAUUAUUUUAUUUUAUUUUCUUUAUUUUCUUUUAUUAUUAUUUUUACAACUACUCCUUUUAAAUGCAUUUUAUUAUUAAUAGAAUCCUGUGCCCAGAUAGUGUUCUUCCACUCCAGGAGGAUAAAUCAGGCACAUUUCAGAAUGCACAAGUCCCCUCAGGUUGUAGCUCCCAUGCACUUUGAAUUAGUAAGGCUUGGAGUCUGGUGUCCUGACUGAUUGAAUGUUUCCUUGCCCAUCAUCCCAGGUUUCUCAUCCAGGGAGCAAGAUCACACAAGGUGGCCAUUCCAAAGCUAAUUAGCAUCUACAUUGUGGAUAUGGCAUGUGUGUCUUAUAAAUCCACUCACUCCUUUUCACAGUACCCUACCCCUCGCAUUUGCCUAGUUUGUACAUUUCCAUGGGCUCAGUAUAGAAGUGACACUUGAUGUGUCAAGUGAUGGUUUUCAUGACUGUGGAAAGUAAGUGGAAUUUGACUGAAAGAAUUUGGGAAGUGGUAAAAGAAGAGUUUUUCCUCCAAGUUCAAAGAGGGAAAUGGAACUAAAUGAAAAUUUGAAUGACAUGAGAAAGUGUUUUAGUUAUAUCAGGAGGACAAGCGAAACUAAGUUACAUGUCUUAUCUCCCCAACAAAAGUGUCUCAAGGGACAAAGACUUUGUUUUAUAGUAUUGAUGUCCCCAGAGUGUGAUAGAUAUCACUGCAAAUGUAAAUAUCACUGCAAAAUGGCAAUUUGUGAGCCAAGAGAAGAAUUGUUGCCAAUUUGGCUUAGCUCCCUGGGGACUAUCGCACUUGACCCAGAGUUUAGUGGGUCUCAGGUGUACUUAGGAAACUUCUCUUGCUCCCAGGACACAGAAUCCUAGAUCCUCCUUACUGUCCUUGAGAUGCUUAGAAAUGCCACAAGGAGCUUAGAACUACCUCAAUCCUUAGAGAGUUCCCAAGACAGAAACUGGCCAUCAAAAGUCUCGUAAGGCCUGAACACUCCAUCCUUAGGGUGGAUUCUAGAACUCUGUUGGAGUCCACCAGGGUAGUGCAAGAGGUCCUUGUGGGUGACUUUUUGUGAUGUAGCCAAGUGGCUACCAUGGCCUGCCUGAUCCUGGGGAGUGGAGACCCUUUUCUACUGUUUCUUUCCUUGGUGAAACCUAGUGGGACGCUGAGGAGAAAAAUAAGUAGUUUGGGGUGCAUGAGAGAAAUGGUAAAAAUAAGCAUGAAGGGAAGAAUCAUAUUAAUUGUUUAUUGAUUUCUAAGAAUAUGAGAAUAAUAAUAAAGUCAUUUGGUGUAAUAUUGUUGCAUUUCCCCCUAUUGAGAACUCCGAAGAUCUAGACAUUGCACUUAACAGGCAAUGAAACCUUUCUGUAAGCACAAUGGGGACUUGACAUCUAAAAACAGAUGAUUUGGUCAUUUUGCCCAAUUUACGAAAGGGGAGAAAGUUGGGGAGUUAACUGAAUUUCAUUUCUGUUUUAUCUUUUUGGAUUUGGAGAAGCAAUGAAAAACCAUUAAUGUUUUUUUCUUUAUUAUUUUGGUUGAGGUAGAGGAGAGAGCUGAUAAAUAAGGAUGUUUGCUGGAAAUACUAAACUUUAAUAACUAAAAAUAAAGAAUAUUCCAGAGCUUCUAUUUUAAAACCUUUUGAUGUUACAACCAUAUCUGUAUUAAAACAGUCAAUGGAAAAAUGACAGACCAAUAAAAGCAACAAUUUCCAGUACUUCUGGACACAAUUUACUACCUGAUUGCCCUGUCUUUGUACUGCAGAUAACUCCAAUCUUAUCUUUGAUAGGCAUAAACCUUGCACAAAUAAUUUACCCUCUCCAAGCCUUGGUUUCACCUAUUAUAAAAUGUGGAUAAUACUAAUGACAUCAUAAGGUUGUAUUAAAAACUAAAUGAGAUAAUAUGAGUGUUGAUAUAAGCAGCCAUUUAUAGAAUUUCUGCCUUACAAAUUGCAGUAUCUUUGAGAAGUAACAUUCAAUCCAAUUGCAGCAAAAACUAUUCUCAUUGAGAUAUUGUAUACUGAUCGUGCUUUGGCCAUUCUUACAUAUCUAGAAUCCUCUUGUAAAGUUUUAGAGAAGUUUGUAACUUGAGUCAGGGAAUCAUAAAACCAUGGGAGCUGGCAUCCUUCCUAUUCUGGAUGAUUCUCUGUCAGAUUUCUUCCAUUUUUUACCUUAUUGUCCUUGGAAGCUCUCCCCUCCAGGGAUUCACUUGGACUUAUGAAUGCAUUUGAAAUCCUCUAAGAACAAUGAUAGAAUUGUAAAAUAUAUUUUAUUUGAAGAAAAGUGGUAGGUGUGAGAUGAAGGUCUUGAGGAAUUGAGGCUCAGCAUUGGCUGAGAGCGCCAGGCCUGAGCCAAGAGUAACAUGAAAGACUGGCCCUUGCCCUUACUGCUAGCUCUCUAGCCAGGCCUGUGAGAUUGGGUGUCCUCUCUAUUUCUUCCUUUGCAAAUGACCUGCACUCUCUUCCUCCUAGGGUACUGUAUAAGGUGUUGGAAUGGGAAGGGCAGGGGAGCUUGGGAUGACAGUACAAUGGCUGGAUUCAGGAAAUGAUGUUUUGCCAUUCACUCUAUGAAUCUUUAUGGAGUCCCUUUUAUGUCAGGUCCUGUUCUGAGGAAUCAAGGAUGCACAAACACUGAUAUAUUCCCUGUGAUGGAGGAGCUUACAUCCAAUGAAGUAGUAGAGUUUUUUGUAGAGCUCUUUGAAAUUCCCAUGGCUUACCUACUGAAUCUUCUUUGGAAUCUUCAAAUUCCCCAAAUCUUUAGAGACUUGGUGGUCACUCACUGGCCAGAGGCAUUGUAAAAGGAUUCUGGAGAUUUCAACUUUUCAGCAAAAGCGCUCCCGAAUCUUUAGUCUGAUUCUGGGAUCCCCAAGGAGACUGGGAACCUUUCUCUGGAUCUUUCCUGUGAAAGGACCAUAUGCUCCGUCCUCUGAUGCAGCACAAAUAGCUACUGUGAAGCUCAGUGGUGAGUUUCAAUGAGUUUAUUCCACUAUCUGUGGCCCAGGUAGGCUUGGACUUACAGGUAUGUUUGUGUUAUGUUUCAUAUUCAAAUGCACAGUUCCAGCAGUAUACUUUAUAAAUUGUACUCUUUGUCUUCCUUGUAAUCUGUCAAGCACCAAGUAUAGUGUCAUCUCUGUGUGGAUGCUCUACAAAUGCUAAUUGGUAGUGAUCAGGAUAAUGAUGUUGACAAAUGACUCCAUGAAACUGAUGAAUCAUUUGGUGGAAGAGGCCUGGCACAGCAGUUAUGUAAUGUUGCUUCACCGAACAGGUAAUGUUUCAUACCUCAGAGCAACAGAAAACAUUUUGCCUGCCAGUGUUACUAUUUCUAGUCAGAGCCAAAAAGGCAUUUUGGGAGAGAGAAGAACUUUUGAAUGACAUUGACCCUGUAAGCAGACCCUUAUAGAGAUACCGCUGUUUCCUUUGGUGCAGGCUCGACCAAAACCUGGCUCCCGCAUGAGUAGGCAAUCAAACAAAAAGAUGAAGCAAGAAGUUUGAAUCAGCUAAUAAAAAUAAAUAAACUAAUUCAUAUGAGUAUUAGCA
Felis catus (domestic cat) is the source of this 3513-nucleotide long non-coding RNA. RefSeq lists it as uncharacterized. The transcript has 2 exons. Lineage: Eukaryota; Metazoa; Chordata; Mammalia; Carnivora; Felidae. The record is from RefSeq and is a predicted model, not a curated record.